RNAcentral lists this unclassified non-coding RNA (406 nucleotides) under Hevea brasiliensis (rubber tree). The record is from RNAcentral. Lineage: Eukaryota; Viridiplantae; Streptophyta; Magnoliopsida; Malpighiales; Euphorbiaceae.
UGUAAUGGAGUAUCAAUGAAUGGUUCCUCAUUUAUACGUUCCAAAACUCGCCUAUCAUCACGAAUUAAAGCAUAAAGGGCAUCAAUAUCUCCUACUUGAGCGGCCUGCUUCAUCCUCCGAUCAAUUUCUCGUACUUGAGCCGCCUGCAGAACAUUGAAAUUUUCUCGGAUUAGACGAUAAAAACCAUCGUUAUCUCCUGCUUGAGAGGCCUCCUUCAGCUUUUGACGAAUAUCUCCUACUUGCUGAACCUCCUCAAAAACAGUUGCAUCUUCCUGGAUUAGAAGACACAAGCCAUAAAUAUCUCCUGAUUGAGCUGCAUCCUUCAACCUCUGAUCCAUGCUUAGCAAAAUGACACACCCGAGCAGCUGAAAGGGAUAAAUUAUUAGAAAUGACUGUAAGGAGUAAG